Molecule: long non-coding RNA, 330 nt
Filed under: Dasypus novemcinctus (nine-banded armadillo)
Lineage: Eukaryota; Metazoa; Chordata; Mammalia; Cingulata; Dasypodidae
Description: lncRNA (ENSDNOG00000051231.1)
Source: RNAcentral
UGAUAGUUUAUAUUUGCUCAACAUGUAUAUACCUUAACGAACUUCUUCAGACCAUUUGACAUAUUUAUAUUAUUGGCUAUUUUUGCCAAUUGUGUGGCCUUAGCUAUUUACAUCCCAUUCCCUGAAGAUGAUUCUAAUUCAACAAAUCAUAACUUGGAGCUAAUACAGGUGAAGAUAAAUGGAGGAACUGAACAUGAGGGACUCAAAAGCAGUCAUUUGAAUGAAACUUUAUAGUCGCAGCUUUGAAACUGUGCCCCCUACCUGUGGAUAGAAAAGGGAAAUAUUUUUUUCUACUGUAUUUUUACUAGAGAGGUUGUGAACUUACUGAAC